GACGAACGCUGGCGGCGUGCUUAACACAUGCAAGUCGAACGGAAAGGCCCCUUUGGGGGUACUCGAGUGGCGAACGGGUGAGUAACACGUGAGUAACCUGCCCUUGACUUCGGGAUAACUUCAGGAAACUGGGGCUAAUACCGGAUAGGAAUCCUUGCUGCAUGGUGGGGGUUGGAAAGCUUCGGCGGUUUUGGAUGGACUCGCGGCUUAUCAGCUUGUUGGUGGGGUAGUGGCUUACCAAGGCUUUGACGGGUAGCCGGCCUGAGAGGGCGACCGGCCACAUUGGGACUGAGAUACGGCCCAGACUCCUACGGGAGGCAGCAGUGGGGAAUAGUGCACAAUGGGCGGAAGCCUGAUGCAGCAACGCCGCGUGCGGGAUGACGGCCUUCGGGUUGGAAACCGCUUUCAGCAGGGGCGAAGCUUGUGGUGACGGUACCUGCAGAAGAAGCACCGGCUAACUACGUG
RNAcentral lists this ribosomal RNA (465 nucleotides) under uncultured bacterium. RNAcentral describes it as "partial 16S ribosomal RNA". It matches the Rfam family "Bacterial small subunit ribosomal RNA", at positions 28 to 507 of the family's 1533-position model. The record is from RNAcentral.